This 1237-nucleotide ribosomal RNA is filed under the name Acinetobacter baumannii. RNAcentral's name for it is "bacterial LSU rRNA". It matches the Rfam family "Bacterial large subunit ribosomal RNA", at positions 1600 to 2820 of the family's 2925-position model. The record is from RNAcentral. Lineage: Bacteria; Pseudomonadati; Pseudomonadota; Gammaproteobacteria; Moraxellales; Moraxellaceae.
CCAUGCUUCCAGGAAAAGUCUCUAAGCUUCAGUUACACAGGAAUCGUACCCGAAACCGACACAGGUGGUCAGGUCGAGUAGACCAAAGCGCUUGAGAGAACUCUGCUGAAGGAACUAGGCAAAAUGGUACCGUAACUUCGGGAGAAGGUACGCUGCUGACGGUGAUGGGACUUGCUCCCUGAGCUAUUGGCAGCCACAGAAACCAGGCCGCUGCAACUGUUUAUUAAAAACAUAGCACUCUGCAAACACGAAAGUGGACGUAUAGGGUGUGAUGCCUGCCCGGUGCUGGAAGGUUAAUUGAUGGGGUUAGCGUAAGCGAAGCUCUUGAUCGAAGCCCCAGUAAACGGCGGCCGUAACUAUAACGGUCCUAAGGUAGCGAAAUUCCUUGUCGGGUAAGUUCCGACCUGCACGAAUGGCAUAAUGAUGGCGGCGCUGUCUCCAGCAGAGGCUCAGUGAAAUCGAAUUCGCCGUGAAGAUGCGGUGUACCCGCGGCUAGACGGAAAGACCCCGUGAACCUUUACUGCAGCUUGACAUUGAACUUUGACCUUACUUGUGUAGGAUAGGUGGGAGGCUUUGAAGUUGGAACGCUAGUUCCAAUGGAGCCGUCCUUGAAAUACCACCCUGGUAAUGUUGAGGUUCUAACUCUGCCCCGUAAUCCGGGGCGAGGACCAUGUCUGGUGGGUAGUUUGACUGGGGCGGUCUCCUCCUAAAGAGUAACGGAGGAGUACGAAGGUGCGCUCAGCGUGGUCGGAAAUCACGCGUAGAGUAUAAAGGCAAAAGCGCGCUUAACUGCGAGACCCACAAGUCGAGCAGGUACGAAAGUAGGUCUUAGUGAUCCGGUGGUUCUGUAUGGAAGGGCCAUCGCUCAACGGAUAAAAGGUACUCUGGGGAUAACAGGCUGAUACCGCCCAAGAGUUCAUAUCGACGGCGGUGUUUGGCACCUCGAUGUCGGCUCAUCUCAUCCUGGGGCUGAAGCAGGUCCCAAGGGUAUGGCUGUUCGCCAUUUAAAGAGGUACGCGAGCUGGGUUUAGAACGUCGUGAGACAGUUCGGUCCCUAUCUACCGUGGGCGCUGGAAAUUUGAGAGGAUCUGCUCCUAGUACGAGAGGACCAGAGUGGACGAACCUCUGGUGUACCGGUUGUGACGCCAGUCGCAUCGCCGGGUAGCUAUGUUCGGAAGGGAUAACCGCUGAAAGCAUCUAAGCGGGAAGCCUACCUCAAGAUAAGAUUUCCCUAGGA